Molecule: small RNA, 402 nt
Filed under: Pongo abelii (Sumatran orangutan)
Lineage: Eukaryota; Metazoa; Chordata; Mammalia; Primates; Hominidae
Description: retained intron
Source: RNAcentral
AGAGGGGGAAGUUCUGGAGGUUGGAAAGAGGACUGGAAUCUGAUUGGGGUUCCAACAAAUCUGUAACACCGCUGGGAACGACUGGGUCCCCUUUAGGUCCUUUAGGACAGCGUUUGAAAUCUUGCUUUCCCCUGCAGGGAUCCAGCACCGGCUCCUCCUCCGGCAACCACGGUGGGAGCGGCGGAGGAAAUGGACAUAAACCCGGGAAUUUUAAAUCCAAGCUGGGUUUCAUUAACUGGGAUGCCAUAAACAAGAACCAGGUCCCGCCCCCCAGCACCCGAGCCCUCCUCUACUUCAGCCGACUCUGGGAGGAUUUCAAACAGAACACUCCUUUCCUCAACUGGAAAGCAAUUAUUGAGGGUGCAGACGCAUCAUCACUGCAGAAACGUGCAGGCAGAGCCG